GACGAACGCUGGCGGCGUGCUUAACACAUGCAAGUCGAACGGAAAGGCCCCUUUGGGGGUACUCGAGUGGCGAACGGGUGAGUAACACGUGAGUAACCUGCCCUUGACUUCGGGAUAACUUCAGGAAACUGGGGCUAAUACCGGAUAGGAAUCCUUGCUGCCUGGUGGGGGUUGGAAAGCUUCGGCGGUUUUGGAUGGACUCGCGGCUUAUCAGCUUGUUGGUGGGGUAGUGGCUUACCAAGGCUUUGACGGGUAGCCGGCCUGAGAGGGCGACCGGCCACAUUGGGACUGAGAUACGGCCCAGACUCCUACGGGAGGCAGCAGUGGGGAAUAUUGAACAAUGGGCGGAAGCCUGAUGCAGCACCGCCGCGUGCGGGAUGACGGCCUUCGGGUUGUAAACCGCUUUCAGCAGGGGCGAAGCUUGUGGUGACGGUACCUGCAGAAGAAGCACCGGCUAACUACGUG
RNAcentral lists this ribosomal RNA (465 nucleotides) under uncultured bacterium. Its description in RNAcentral is "partial 16S ribosomal RNA". It matches the Rfam family "Bacterial small subunit ribosomal RNA", at positions 28 to 507 of the family's 1533-position model. The record is from RNAcentral.